RNAcentral lists this transfer RNA (56 nucleotides) under Thaumamermis cosgrovei. RNAcentral describes it as "tRNA-Thr". The record is from RNAcentral. Lineage: Eukaryota; Metazoa; Nematoda; Enoplea; Mermithida; Mermithidae.
UCUUUACUAGAUUAAAAAAGAUCGUUUAUUUUGUAAAUAAAAAGUAAUAUUAAGAA